AACAUGAAGCUUGUUUUAGAACUGGCUGCAAUCGUUAUAUUGAGAACGACUGAAAGAGACAGGAGAGGAACAGACUUAACCGCUAAGUUUUCCUUCUCGACGAAACAUAUUCCUCUUCCACUCCUGUAAAUGCAGACACCUAAUUCCACCCCCUUCUUAGUCACAGUAUUCCCCGAAGGAGCAUGGCAAAUGUUCUGCCCCUCAUAUCUUACGUCGUUGAUUCCUCCUCUGCUCUCCAAUCUAAGAAGCGCCUCUACCUCUCUCUCCCCCACAAUCCCCUCCUCAUCGACGAUGGUAAAUAUUUCAUUCCCCCUUUUCUUUAUCAUUCAUUUCCUUCUUUGGUUUUGUUUUCUGUUUCACUACAAUUGAUUGUGAGCCCAUAAACAUGGAAGCAAUUCGAAGCUCAUAAGGUUAGCAGUUGGAGAGGAAAGGGUCUUUCCAGUAAUGGGGGAAGCACGCGGUUGAGAAUCUUGGUGUUGUUGGUGCUGAUGAACAAUGGAGAUGUAAAACACACAAAGAGGGAACGGUAGAACAUGACUCUCUUUCUCUGCUGUGAUUUUUAGUAAUUCUCCAACUUUUCUGGGUUGUGACUGCACAUGUCCUGAAUAUGGAGGUUGCCUCAUGAGUGAUCGAGGGUUGUAGGAAAAUCAAGAAUUGUUAGAAAUGAUUCAGGUUUGCUGUACUGUAAAAUAGUACUUUUAAAUUCUGAUGGUCAUGUGGAAAUAGUUUUUCUUUUUCAUUUCUCUCAUUUUUAGUGCUUAUAGUUUUUCCUUUUCAUGGAUCUUAUUCUUUAGAAGUAAGGAUCAACUCUUCAUUUUUAAUAUAUUCCUGAAUACUGUAAGGUUUUUUAAAAGUUUAACCUUUUAACAUGUUUUGAAUGGUGGAUCUACAACUUUAUUUUAUUUUAUUAAUUAAAUGCUGAAACUCAUCCUAGAACUGAGUGAUCUCAAGGAUGAGUCACUGCAUCUGUGGUUGUGAAGUAACAGUCUCAUUCCGAUCAAAUGAGCAAAUUGUCUUCCGCUUCCUCAUUAGUCAAAAAUGAUGAAUGCUCCUUCAUCUGUUGUCACCCAUUUGACUACAAGUAUGCAUGGCAACUGGCACGUCAAGUAGUAAAUCUAUAAUUCCUGAGUACUACAAGUGCAGUGUUAAAGGAAGAGAUGAUGGAAAAGGAAGAAGAGCUGCAAUCCAAUUUCAAACCCAAAGGUGUCACAAAAAAAUCAGCUUUCCAAGUUUCGGCUUACUUUAAUGACUGAUACAUCAGCUGCACAAGCAAUGAAGAGGAAGGACAACCAGGUAUUCCAUGGGAAGCAAGGGAAAAUGGAAGCUAUGAGGAAAAGUGUGUCAUAAAUUUUACUGUUAUUUUAUUUGGUAAUGCAUAGGCUGAACUUUUAAAAAAAAUUCCAUGGAUAUUUUUAAUUUUUUUGUUGUGAUUUCAGUUGAGGUUCUGAUAUGACUUUUGGAAUUUUGUAUGCUCUAUCCUAGAUUAUGUUAUGUGGCAGGCUAAGUGAUUAAGUUUCCCUAUUGUGCUUUGCAUUGCAAUGGAUGUUCAUGUUACAAAAC
Molecule: long non-coding RNA, 1560 nt
Organism: Lotus japonicus
Lineage: Eukaryota; Viridiplantae; Streptophyta; Magnoliopsida; Fabales; Fabaceae
Exons: 5
Source: RefSeq, a predicted model, not a curated record